This 232-nucleotide ribosomal RNA is filed under the name uncultured bacterium. RNAcentral describes it as "partial 16S ribosomal RNA". It matches the Rfam family "Bacterial small subunit ribosomal RNA", at positions 524 to 751 of the family's 1533-position model. The record is from RNAcentral.
UACGUAGGGGGCAAGCGUUGUCCGGAAUCAUUGGGCGUAAAGAGCGUGUAGGCGGCCCGAUAAGUCCGCUGUGAAAGUCCAGGGCUCAACCCUGGGAUGCCGGUGGAUACUGUCGGGCUCGGAGUCCGGAAGAGGAGUGUGGAAUUCCUGGAUGUGAUGCGGUGGAAAUGCGCAGAUAUCAGGAGGAACACCAAUGCGAAGGCAGCACUCUGGGACGUGACUGACGCUGAGA